This 460-nucleotide ribosomal RNA is filed under the name uncultured bacterium. RNAcentral's name for it is "partial 16S ribosomal RNA". It matches the Rfam family "Bacterial small subunit ribosomal RNA", at positions 338 to 795 of the family's 1533-position model. The record is from RNAcentral.
CCUACGGGUGGCAGCAGUGAGGCAUGUUGGUCAAUGGACGAGAGUCUGAACCAGCCAAGUAGCGUGAAGGAUGACUGCCCUAUGGGUUGUAAACUUCUUUUAUAUGGGAAUAAAAUGUUCCACGUGUGGGAUUUUGUAUGUACCAUAUGAAUAAGGAUCGGCUAACUCCGUGCCAGCAGCCGCGGUAAUACGGAGGAUCCGAGCGUUAUCCGGAUUUAUUGGGUUUAAAGGGAGCGUAGGUGGAUUGUUAAGUCAGUUGUGAAAGUGUGCGGCUCAACCGUAAAAUUGCAGUUGAGACUGGCAGUCUUGAGUACAGUAGAGGUGGGCAGAAUUCGUGGUGUAGCGGUGAAAUGCUUAGAUAUCACGAAGAACUCCGAUUGCGAAGGCAGUUCACUGGACUGCAACUGACACUGAGGCUCGAAAGUGUGGGUAUCAAACAGGAUUAGAUACCCUUGUAGUC